RNAcentral lists this ribosomal RNA (253 nucleotides) under uncultured bacterium. RNAcentral's name for it is "partial 16S ribosomal RNA". It matches the Rfam family "Bacterial small subunit ribosomal RNA", at positions 524 to 776 of the family's 1533-position model. The record is from RNAcentral.
UACAGAGGUCUCAAGCGUUGUUCGGAAUCAUUGGGCGUAAAGGGUGUGUAGGCGGUUAUGUUAGUCUCCCGUUAAAUUCUUCGGCUCAACCGGGGGCAUGCGGGGGAAACGGCAUAACUUGAGGAUGGAAGGGGUCUCUGGAACUCAUGGUGUAGCGGUGAAAUGCGUUGAUAUCAUGGGGAACACCGAAAGCGAAGGCAAGAGACUGGUCCACUCCUGACGCUGAAACACGAAAGCGUGGGUCGCGAAUGGG